AGUGAACGCUGGCGGUAGGCCUAACACAUGCAAGUCGAACGGCAGCACAGUAAGAGCUUGCUCUUACGGGUUGCGAGUGGCGGACGUGUGAGGAAUACAUCGGAAUCUACUUUUUCGUGUGGGAUAACGUAGGGAAACUUACGCUAAUACCGCAUACGACCUACGGUUGAAAGCAGGGGAUCUUCGCACCUUGCGCGAUUGAAUGCGCCGAUGCGGGAUUAGCUAGUUGGCGGGGUAAAGGCCCACCAAGGCGACGAUCCGUAGCUGGUGUGAGAGGCUGAUAGGCGACACUGGAAGUGAGACGCGGUCCAGAGGACUACGGGAGGGAGCAGUGGGGAAUAUGGGACAAUGGGGGGAAGCCUGAUCCAGUGAUACCGAGUGGGUGACGAAGGCCUUGGGGGUGGAAAGCCCUUUUGUGGGGAAAGAAAAGCAUCAGGUUGAGACCACGCGUUAGUGACGGUACCGAGAGAAUAAGCACCGGCUAACUACGUG
This 492-nucleotide ribosomal RNA is filed under the name uncultured bacterium. RNAcentral's name for it is "partial 16S ribosomal RNA". It matches the Rfam family "Bacterial small subunit ribosomal RNA", at positions 30 to 507 of the family's 1533-position model. The record is from RNAcentral.